RNAcentral lists this ribosomal RNA (805 nucleotides) under uncultured bacterium. RNAcentral's name for it is "bacterial SSU rRNA". It matches the Rfam family "Bacterial small subunit ribosomal RNA", at positions 28 to 878 of the family's 1533-position model. The record is from RNAcentral.
AGCGAACGCUGGCGGCAGGCUUAACACAUGCAAGUCGAGCGGGCGUAGCAAUACGUCAGCGGCAGACGGGUGAGUAACGCGUGGGAACAUACCUUUUGGUUCGGAACAACACAGGGAAACUUGUGCUAAUACCGGAUAAGCCCUUACGGGGAAAGAUUUAUCGCCGAAAGAUUGGCCCGCGUCUGAUUAGCUAGUUGGUGAGGUAACGGCUCACCAAGGCGACGAUCAGUAGCUGGUCUGAGAGGAUGAUCAGCCACAUUGGGACUGAGACACGGCCCAAACUCCUACGGGAGGCAGCAGUGGGGAAUAUUGGACAAUGGGCGCAAGCCUGAUCCAGCCAUGCCGCGUGAGUGAUGAAGGCCCUAGGGUUGUAAAGCUCUUUUGUGCGGGAAGAUAAUGACGGUACCGCAAGAAUAAGCCCCGGCUAACUUCGUGCCAGCAGCCGCGGUAAUACGAAGGGGGCUAGCGUUGCUCGGAAUCACUGGGCGUAAAGGGUCCGUAGGCGGUGCGGCAAGUCGGAAGUGAAAUCUCUGGGCUUAACCCAGAGGCUGCUCCCGAAACUGCCGUGCUAGAGGAUGAGAGAGGCGAGUGGAAUUGCGGGUGUAGCGGUGAAAUGCGUAGAUAUCUGCAGGAACACCCGUGGCGAAAGCGGCGCGCUGGACCACUACUGACGCUGAGGAACGAAAGCUAGGGGAGCAAACAGGAUUAGAUACCCUGGUAGUCCUAGCCCUAAACGAUCAGGACUUGGGGUGCCACCCGUUCGGGUGUCGUCCCGGAGCUAACGCGUUAAGUCCUGCACCUGGGG